This 122-nucleotide ribosomal RNA is filed under the name Chloromonas perforata. Lineage: Eukaryota; Viridiplantae; Chlorophyta; Chlorophyceae; Chlamydomonadales; Chlamydomonadaceae. The record is from RNAcentral.
GCCUUGGUGCUCACGUUAAUUGGGAUCCACACGUAUACAUCUCGAACUACGAAGUGAAAACGAUUAAGAGUUUAAAGAACUGAAUGAACGCUUGUUCGGAAGCUUAAACUUAGUGCCAGGGA